UGCCUAAUACAUGCAAGUCGAGCGAAUCGAUGGGAGCUUGCUCCCUGAGAUUAGCGGCGGACGGGUGAGUAACACGUGGGCAACCUGCCUAUAAGACUGGGAUAACUUCGGGAAACCGGAGCUAAUACCGGAUACGUUCUUUUCUCGCAUGAGAGAAGAUGGAAAGACGGUUUCGGCUGUCACUUAUAGAUGGGCCCGCGGCGCAUUAGCUAGUUGGUGAGGUAAUGGCUCACCAAGGCGACGAUGCGUAGCCGACCUGAGAGGGUGAUCGGCCACACUGGGACUGAGACACGGCCCAGACUCCUACGGGAGGCAGCAGUAGGGAAUCUUCCGCAAUGGACGAAAGUCUGACGGAGCAACGCCGCGUGAACGAAGAAGGCCUUCGGGUCGUAAAGUUCUGUUGUUAGGGAAGAACAAGUACCAGAGUACUGCUG
This 434-nucleotide ribosomal RNA is filed under the name Peribacillus simplex. Its description in RNAcentral is "bacterial SSU rRNA". It matches the Rfam family "Bacterial small subunit ribosomal RNA", at positions 45 to 469 of the family's 1533-position model. The record is from RNAcentral. Lineage: Bacteria; Bacillati; Bacillota; Bacilli; Caryophanales; Bacillaceae.